AAUAGAUACCCAGGUAGUCCACGCCGUAAACGAUGAGUGCUAAGUGUUAGAGGGUUUCCGCCCUUUAGUGCUGCAGCUAACGCAUUAAGCACUCCGCCUGGGGAGUACGGCCGCAAGGCUGAAACUCAAAGGAAUUGACGGGGGCCCGCACAAGCGGUGGAGCAUGUGGUUUAAUUCGAAGCAACGCGAAGAACCUUACCAGGUCUUGACAUCCUCUGACCUCCCUGGAGACAGGGCCUUCCCCUUCGGGGGGACAGAGUGACAGGCGGUGCAUGGUUGUCGUCAGCUCGUGUCGUGAGAUGUUGGGUUAAGUCCCGCAACGAGCGCAACCCUUGACCUUAGUUGCCAGCAUUCAGUUGGGCACUCUAAGGUGACUGCCGGUGACAAACCGGAGGAAGGUGGGGAUGACGUCAAAUCAUCAUGCCCCUUAUGACCUGGGCUACACACGUGCUACAAUGGAUGGUACAAAGGGCUGCGAGACCGCGAGGUUAAGCCAAUCCCAGAAAACCCAUUCCCAGUUCGGAUUGCAGGCUGCC
RNAcentral lists this ribosomal RNA (536 nucleotides) under uncultured bacterium. RNAcentral describes it as "bacterial SSU rRNA". It matches the Rfam family "Bacterial small subunit ribosomal RNA", at positions 777 to 1309 of the family's 1533-position model. The record is from RNAcentral.